Taenia asiatica is the source of this 114-nucleotide non-coding RNA. The record is from Rfam. NCBI's taxonomy places the organism in Eukaryota, Metazoa, Platyhelminthes, Cestoda, Cyclophyllidea, Taeniidae.
GUCGGUUAUGGCGAUAUGCGACCAGUGACAGUUGGAGGAAAGUUAGUUGGUUCUUUAUGCGCUAUCGCCGGUGUCCUAACCAUCGCCCUCCCUGUUCCUGUUAUUGUAUCAAAC